Molecule: ribosomal RNA, 396 nt
Filed under: uncultured bacterium
Lineage: Bacteria
Description: bacterial SSU rRNA
Rfam family: Bacterial small subunit ribosomal RNA
Source: RNAcentral
GACGAACGCUGGCGGCGUGCUUAACACAUGCAAGUCGAACGGAAAGGCCCCUUCGGGGGUACUCGAGUGGCGAACGGGUGAGUAACACGUGGGUGAUCUGCCCUGCACUUUGGGAUAAGCCUGGGAAACUGGGUCUAAUACCGAAUAGGACCACGCGCUUCAUGGUGUGUGGUGGAAAGCUUUUGCGGUGUGGGAUGGGCCCGCGGCCUAUCAGCUUGUUGGUGGGGUAAUGGCCUACCAAGGCGACGACGGGUAGCCGGCCUGAGAGGGUGUCCGGCCACACUGGGACUGAGAUACGGCCCAGACUCCUACGGGAGGCAGCAGUGGGGAAUAUUGCACAAUGGGCGCAAGCCUGAUGCAGCGACGCCGCGUGGGGGAUGACGGCCUCGGUGUAAC